UCGUUCUAAAUGGUUUUAAUUAAGUGAUGGAUUUUAUUAAGGUACUAAUUCAAUCACGUGUUGCCAAAAUAAUAUUCAACAAAAACAUGAGGUUUAAAUAUGCAGAGCUGGCAAGGAUCAACAGAUGAAACAACUCAAAGGCCUUCCUUUAUGGCUAAAUUAUGCACCCUUUAGGACUAUAACAACGAGGAUUGUAUAUAAAUAAAUCGGUUACACGAAAGGUUCAUCAGGUGAACUGUCUGUCAAGCUGACAACAUGUCCAAGUCUUGCAGAAUGAUUACAGUUUUGUAGCAAUUCUGCAUGAUCCUCAACACAAUGAACAAUUAGAUUAGAUUAACUAAAUCUUUCAUUCACUAAUCAACCUUCUGCCAGACUUGCUUCCCUUUCCACCUGCUUUCUCAGCUGAUCUAAAAUUAAUAUACAACGCCCCUUCACUCACAAGGGAAUCUAUCUGAUGGCAAGUGUAUUAGUGAACACCUUGUCGUGUAAAGUCCUCCUGCUUCUCUAAAUCUGCACAAGUAACCAAAAAGUAUUUGCUUUCUCAGUUCAAAAUAUAAGGCAAAAAAACGUAACUGGAUCCUAAAUUCUGACAACAUGGAAAAUUGAUCAUUGUACAGUUCUGUGCAGAAUGUUUGACGCUCAACAGCACCUUCCUAUGAAUCAACUAUUGACUGAAUUCCUGAAUCAUGAUCAAUCUUCAUGUUCAUUUUCACCUUCAGAAUCUGCAUAAAUAGAAAAGUAAGUCCAAUUAUAUAUCAGUUACAACGGGAGGUUCUGACUGAAGAUGCUAGUGGUCUGAAUUAUAUGCAAGAGGUUGCUGUCAUAUUAGAUCACUUGGCUGGAGCAAUAAUGGCUGCUAAUACAUUUAUAACAAGCUAUAGAAGUCGUCUUCAAGGGAAAUUUAACCGAUAAUAGGGGUCAAGACGCUGUCAGGCGAGUUUUUUUGAUUUGCUAAAAACUAUCCAUUCCAUCUUUAGGCCCCUAACUAUGAUAAAGGGGCGAGUGCACUUUUUGAUGAACCACAAGUAUAACCCAUACUAAAUAUGAUUAGUCAUGAAGCCAUUAACAGGUUCUCAGGUUUACAGUAAAUUAAAAGUUAUAUAGAGCAUAAUAAACUUCAUCCACUGGAACAAAGCAGUAAUAGAAUUCAUUCAAAACAAAUGCAACCAUCAGUUGAGUAGUGACGGAUUAUUUACAGAAAACCUAUGAUGCCCUUAUUAUACUUAUGGCUUGGAAAAAUGAAUAAACACAAUACCAGAGCACAUUGAACAAUUAUGCUGCAAAAUUAAAAGAAUAGGUAUCUACUCAGAAGGUAUUGAAUGAUUAAGGCCUUCAAAAAUUCAAUCUUCCAUGACAACAAAGCGGUACAUUUGUUUACUUCAACUAGUACUGAUUUGCUACACUAAUGCUUUCCUCUUCUUUUCCCCCCUUUGUGUGGGUUUUUUUUUUGUUUUGUUGGGGNNNNNNNNNNNNNNNNNNNNNNNNNNNNNNNNNNNNNNNNNNNNNNNNNNNNNNNNNNNNNNNNNNNNNNNNNNNNNNNNNNNNNNNNNNNNNNNNNNNNNNCCUUGUUUUGACUUACCAGAUCGAACAUCAUCACUAAGUUGGCCUCUUGCUUGGAUUUGUUUAACAAGCAUCCGAUACAUUAACACCCACCAGUAAAUGUGAAGAACGAGCAAGCAAAAGAGAAGAGUAUUGAACACGUAGUAGUAGAUUGGUCCUUCAACUCUGUGCUUCUCCUUGUCCAAUGCUUGGAGAACUUCAUAACUGCCGAAAAAGGAAUAAUCCAUAAUAUUUCAUCAUAUUUUAAGCUCUUCAACAUAUUAAUAGUUAUCAGAAACUAUAGAAUCUUAAAUUGGAUACUGAAAUUGAUAUUGAUACUAUAAGAAAAGGAAAGAAAAUAAGAUCAAAAAUGAGUAUCUCACUAAAGUGCAAGCAGUGCUACUGAACUAAUAAUAAGUAAACCAAUUAUCAAUGAAACAUUUAACAAUUGAAGUUUUGAACUAUGAAUUUUCAUCCAGAAAAAGAUGAUACUACCAGAAAUCUGUUUGAAUGAUGGCUACUAAUCAAAUAAUAAAAGAACAUAAUUGCCAUUAAAUAGCAUCACAUCUCCUGGCCCUAAGAACUACUAAGAUCAUGUAUUCAGGCUUUUAGCUUCUAGAAAUAUUCCUCAACUAAGAGCUAGAGACGAAACCUUGGGAAAUUAAGAUUUUACGGUAAAUUUAUGAAUCGGAAAGAAACCUGUUUGUUCAACGAUUUUGUGCACAGAUAGUAGAAGAUUAAGAUUCCAAGGUUAAAUAAAUAGAUAUAGGAGUUGUUGAAGCUAGUAUACAUAUGUAGAUAUACAUAAGUGUACCUAUACAACCAAAUGCUGCUGGUGGAGAAUGUAUAUAUAUCUUUUGAGAAUUUAUUCAGCAAUUAUGUUGUGCACCACCAGACUGAGAAAACCACCCUUGGUUCUUAAGUAAAGAUUAUCAAGUAACUGCCAACCAAUUAAUUAGGAAUGGAUACUGCAAGAAGCCACCAUCAUUCUAUCUCUUUGUUCUUCGUAUUCUACUUUGUUUCUUUUUCUUCUCAUGUUUUAUGUUAAAAUAUAACCAUAUUAAUCUUUCCAAUUUGAGAUAAUUCAGCUUGAUUAUACUUAACGCUAGUUGUCUCAUGUUCAAACCUAAAGUAAUUAGGUUUUUAAUUGCUAUUCAGAUUUAAGUUUGACUUGUGCAACCAUUUUUUAAGUCCUUUUGUUUCUGUUGUUGAAAAUUCAUACAUAAUUCUUAAUAAUGUAUAUUGGUUAGUAAAGAUGAGUUGGGUUGACACUAGUCUAGGUUUCAGAUUCCCAAUCAAAUACCAGGUGGCCAAGGUCAGAAAGACAUGCAGAAAUCAAAUGAAAUGAGUGUUAUAACCCUAUUUGGAUAUGAGAUAAAAGUAUUGUACUAAUAAAUUUUUAAAGAAAAACACCUGGCCCAACCCCAAAAGAUAAUGUGAAAGAAGAAACAUAGAGAUCCAAAUGAAUAAUCAUAAAAGAAUGCAACAGUGAAGAUAAAUAGGCUCCUUUAAAUUCCUAAAAUACCUUCAACAAUGGUAUAUCUUGAGGGUAACACACUAGUAGACAACAUUAGACUACCAAAAAAAAGUUGUUGACCGUGAUUGCUUCUUUAACUAGUCAAUUCCAUUUAUUAAUAUCUUCCUUAAUGUCUUAACUUCUGACCUAGUUAAGAUUUUAGAAUACAUAUCAAUUUUGACAAACCAUUUGACAUCAGAGCAAAGGAAUUUGCAAGAGUAUCAAUGAAUAAAUGUGAAAAAGCAAUCUACUCCACCUUGUACUCCAGAGGAUCCAAAAUGGAUAGUAGAUGAGGCGAAGUAGAACCCAUGAUAAAACAAACAGAAUAAAUGAAAAGCUAGCAAGAGUCUCAGUGCCACUAUAUUUGGACAUCUUCCCUACUUCAAGAAAUACAUCACUAGCAUCAUGAAGAGCCAAAACAACAGAACCAACUCGAGCAAACCUGCAAUAAGACACAUGAAACAAAUUUUAAAAAUUCCAUCUGCACCAGGUUAUACUAUUUUAGCCCUUUCUAGUACAUAUAUUAAUUUGAAUAAUCAUAUAUUCAUAUUAAUCAUCCCACAUAAUGCCAUUCCUUGAACAUAUUCCAACCUAAGUUGAAGUCAGCAUAAUUGAAAUUAGAACUGAAAAUGAUAAUUACAAAUUAAUAUCCUUCUAAGCAUACCUGAAUAUGUAAGACAACAUGAUGAGUAUCGCAGUUGCUACAUGAUGACCCAUUGACACCCCAAAAUCAGAACGCCUUGUUUCCCAAAAUAUCAAAGCAAAUAUGGAGUAUGUAUAGAAUCCACCAACAUACAUAUAAAGUCCUUUCAAUUUCAACCUGGUUAUCAUAAAAUGAGUCAACUCAGAAAUAGAAAAUUCUUACAAAGUAAAAGAAUAAAUCAAGAGCGACCCAACGUUGCUACAAAAAUUAUAUAAUCAUUGGUCUAUAAUUUUUGGAAAUCUUACUUAAUUUUAAGCUCUGGCCAUACUUGAUUUCCAGGUCCUGUCCAAAAAUUGCUUGUGUUAGUGAACCAAGGCUCAUCAUAGGUUACAGCAAGAGCUAGAAUCUCUGCUGAAAGGUAAUAAAUGCAUUUCCACGCUGAUUCCUUGAACUUUCGUAUCUUCUUUCUCCUCUCAUCUGUCUCAACAUCCAGCUUCUGAUUUCCCUUUCCAAAUAUCAACAGUCUUCCCACUUUCUGCAAAAUGUAAACAUUCAUUUUACUUUACAGUCUGAAUACAAAAAUUUCCAUUGAAGAGUUAAUUUUCUUUUUCUUUUUGGGUAGGAGGGUUGUGGGGAAGACCUGGCCAUGGAGCAGAUUGAUUCGAGAAGGUCAAUUACAAACAUAUAGAAAGAAAUCAACUAGUGUUGGUGUUGCUUAUACAUGGUGUUGGGAGAGGUAAACUAGAUAAUAUAUAUCCUUCAGCAUUUUUUUUAUGAGUAGCUAUCAUGCAGCGUUAUUUUUUAACAAAUUUUGUGUUCUUGAGCUGAACCAUUCUAUUUGCACCAAAAUAACAAUCCAAAAGAAGUUUACCAAGAACACUCCCCAUGGAAGGUUUAAUCUCGGUUGACGCAUAAGCUGGGCCGAGGACACCCUUACCGUUCAAACAAAAAAAAAGACUAGUUAUCUAGUAAAACCAACAUUGGAGGUUCAUUAAAUCUAUAUUUUUUGAAGCAGAAAAAGCUAUUGAAUCCAAUUUUUUAAAAUUUUAAAAUGAAUUUGUAUUCAGUACCAUUCUUUAAUAUGUAAUAUUCGCAUUCAAUUUUUCAAUCAUGAAAGUUGUAAAUUAGUAACUUGGGAUCAGUCUAAUAAUUGUUUAUCUGCAAUGGUCUCUGCAUGUGGUUUUAUCCUGAUUUUCCAGCUUAUCAUCUAUGAUGUUGCAUUCUAGGUAGUAACAACAUUGAGUCAGAUAAAGAAGAUACUUUCUGGGUAUGUUUGGGAUUACAAAGUUCUGGGAGUGUUGUUUGUUGGUAAUAAAGCAUUAGGGACAGAAACCAGAUGAGCAUUACCAUUCAUGUUAAAGGUACAAAAGGACAACUAAAAGAAGAUAAAACACAGGAUUAUUAGUUGGGAAAAAGAACUACAGCCCUAAAAUAAAAUAAGUUCCACAUUGUCAAUAAAAUGUACUAGCUAAGGAUUUAAAUAAAUAUGUAUUGUCUCUCAUGGUCCAAUUGGCCAUGGAUGACUAAUAAGUAAAAUCUUAGUUAGUAUUAGAUCAUAAAUCCCGUCUCAAUUAUGAAAUUAAGAUCAUGCAUUACUAAAAUGGAUAAAAUACCGCCUAAGAGAACAUCGAAUCACUCAAAAUCCAUGUGACUUGACGUAAAUGUCAGGGAAAAAUCUUGGUAGAAAAAGAUGCCACAGAAAGCACAGACAUUAAUAUGUUACUCCCUCCAUCACAAAAGAAAGUCCAGUUUCGAAAGUCUUAAAAAUGUUUGACUUUAGCAUAAUUAACGACUAAGAUCAUAAUUUAGACUUCGCAGGAAUCUAAUAUAAAGAAGAAGCUAUUGAAUCAAAAAGAUGCGCCUCUAUAGGUGUUUAUGGUGUAAAAUGCUUUUGCUGGGCUGAUUGGACCUUCUUUAAUAUUGGAGUGAGCAGUCUUCAUCUUUUUGGUUAUACUGUUGCAGUGAGUAAAUACAAAGUAUAAACUAUAAACAGAACUGUAUAUUCUGUUCUUUGUGCUUAAAAAAACAUAUAUCCAUAGCACAAUUACAGCUAGAAAAACAACAGAAUUUCAAAAAUUAACACAAAGCAAAAGGAUGAAUGCAAUAUUGGUCGACGAUACACCAUAUAUUCGUAAAGCAAUGAAUAGCAAAACGUACACACAGUGAGCUUGAUCAGUCGAUCUAAUAACCAAUUAUCAAACAAAGUGAACAUCAAUCGAAAGUAAAAGAAACCCACUUCAAUCAAACUGAUAAUAAAAUCAACAAGGUACCUCGAAAAUAAAUCUGUCGAGAAAGAAGCGCACUGUAGGGAAGAACAGGGCAAAUAAGGGAAGAACUGCAAAAUCUUCAUACUUUGGAAACGAUUCAUGUUCCCAAUCAAAGGAACCCAAAAAUUCAACCAAGUCCAUUACGGGUUUCCUCAGAAUAACUGUAUCUGUAUCUAUAUAAUUGGUAAGUAAAUCUCUCUAUAUAUAUACACGUAUAUAUGAAUAUGGAUGAAUUCUUGGGCAGAUCAAUGUCUAGCCCAGUAAGGUGAGAUCAAAUCGAGGACUUUAGCAAUGUAAUUGGUUGGUUAUUGUGUAUUGAACAGAUCUGUCUCCCCCACCAGAAUUAUUUAUUUAUUUAAGAUGCCAUUUGAUAAAUCAAGUCAAUUCGGCUUUGAGGUUGACAUUAUAAAAAGUUGGCAAUCGACUGGCGAUUGUUAUCUGGACCGGCGUACGAUUAGUAGAGUCCAGCAUGGUGGGAAGGCUUUGGGCUGCCCAAUAUCAGUUGAGAAAGAGAAUAGCUUUUAUGGUUUAAUCGUAAUCCAAAAACUGUGCAAUAUACAAUUUUUUUUAAUUACUUAAUGAAAAUAUGGCACCUUAAAUAAUUUUAUUAAUUAUUUAUUUAGAUUUUAUUUAUUUAUGAGAACCUAUUAUUUUGCAAUUCAUUUUAGAGAUACAUUUCAUUCUACAGCCUAAGGAAAGUUGGAGAAGGGGUCCGUAAAAAUCAGAGAGCAACUUAAGAGAAACUUAUUUUUAAGUAUAAAACAAAGGAAAUCAUAUAUUUAACUUUUGCCAAUUUCAGAAUGAAAUAAAAAUAAUAUAUUUGAUGAUCAUUUUUGAGUAUAAAUUAUUCCAUUCCAAUAGAAUGGAUUUCCUUUCAAUCCUGGCCUUAACAUUUUUACUGUGAUUUUCAAGUCCUGAGAACGGUUAAAUACAAACACAGAGAGUAUUACCAUUUGUGUAAUUUUUUAGCAGUAAAUUAAUUAGUCAUCCAAGAAGAAGUUUAAACUGGGGCCUCCUCUUCCAAUAGGCCAAGUUGUCUGAGGGAUGAAUGAAAUAAUAAAUGAUACACAAUUAUAAGCAUCUUAAGUUCAUCCCCUUGAAACAUCACUACCCCCUUGCAUCUUGUUUGGCUGGGCUUACCGAGAGAUGAUAAAAUCCAUGGCAGCCUAGCUGUAAUGGGACACACAUCGGAAGCUAAUGAUUUGUGUGCCUGUUUUUAGUUCGUUUUCUGAAUGUGCCUAUAUAGUUUAGUUAGUUCCUUUCAAUGAAAUAAACAAGUGUGACUGGAGCCGGGAUAUCUUACUUGAGGAUAAGUCCAUAAUUAGCUGAAUGUAUAUACAUACAACCUCAGUGAUUUGCAGGGCUAGUAAUUAUCAUCUUCUUUUUUAGAAGACAAAUCAUAUAUUUAACUUUUGCCAAUUCCAGAAGAAACCAAGUUAUAUUUCCGGGUAAUAGAAGCCAGAGAUGUGAUGGUGCUAAAAUUGAUAAUAAUAAUAAUAAUAAUAAUAAUAAUAAUUUCAUUUUGUAUCAUCAAUGUAGCGUUUUUUGCUUUUUGCAUGGAAGAUUCGCAUUUAUAGGAGUCGGUUUCCUUUCUAAGAAAAUUAGAGUCUCAGAUUUUCUUGUUCUGAACAAGAAUACUUUGUUUUUCAGUUGAUUACUCUCUUUUUGAUUUUCUGCUGUAUACUCUAGCGAUAGACAUGGACUCAUCCCAAGUCUGCGGAGUCAUAGAAGAAUAUAGUAGCAGUGAGUCCGGGUGGGCAAUGUAUAUAAACUCUCCCAACCACGAAAACAAGAAUGAGGAUGGAGGUGAUCACCAAACAGAUCAAGAAUCUGGGCAUGAUAAUGCAGAGUGAUGAUUCUAUGGCUUCAGACGCCUCUUCAGGUUCAAGUCAUGAUCAUCGUGUAACUUUACACACUAAGGAAAGUUGUGGCAAGGGUGAUUUCAAGUACGCAAAGGAUAAAAAUUUGGUCCAAACUUCACGCAAGAUACCUAGGAAACAGAUGGAGAAGAAGAUGUACAAAAGGAAGAAAGAAGCUGAGACCCAAGAGCCAAAACACCAGCCAUACAGAGCUAUCGGUUAUGGUCAAAGUGGAGCAAAGAAAAUCAAGUAGGAGGGCAGAAGACACUUCAUAGAUUCAGUGAGCACACAGUAGUGUAGUCAGGCAGUAUUAGCUAACUCAAGCACAUGUAUACAUCAUAAAUGUUCACGUGAUCCUUUGUUUCAUGUUCCAUGAUAUAUAAAAGUUUCAAAUGCGUGUGUAUAUAUAUAUAUAUAUAUAUAUAUAUAUACAUAUACAUAUACUUGUAUGAAUAUAUGUCAGACCAAACAUGCAAAAAGGUGAUUUAGAAACUGAUACAGAUCUAGGGUAGCAAAAAUCUAGGGAGCGAUAGCAUAGAGAUGGAGGAUGACAAUUGACAAACACCAAAAUACCAGGCAUUACUAUUAAGAAAAGACGCCACAAAUAUGAUAUUUGAGCUCUACCUCUUCUUGAAGAAAUAUUGUUGGUCUAUUGGUUUCAAAGCUCGUGCUCGUAGUUCAUCUAAAGGCAGUUCAUCUAGCUGAGGUCAAUAAUCAAUGGCAGCAUCAAUGAAAAGCAUUUGAACAUGAAAAAUUAAAAUUUAAGACUUCAUAUAACAAGAAAGUACAUGACCAGAAUAAAGAUCCACGGGACCCCCAGCAAACAUAUAUUGCUCUUAUAAUUAAGAAGAUAGGUCCACCACAAUAUGAAAAAUCAAACCAAAUCUAAAAGAAGUUACAACAAACAUAGAUAAUAUGCAAUUUAGACACUUUCAGUAUAUCUAGAAACAACAAUGCCAAGAAAAGUAUGACAAAAUGAAAUAGAAUCAAAUGCUCGGUCUCAAUCACCAAUGGAACAUUAUUAGGUAUAAAAGACAACAGUUCAAAAUGGUUGAAGACAACCAUCGGAAAUCAGAUCUUUGACUGUUUGGCGAUCUUGAACCAUUCAGUAUGGAAGGCCCCUGGUAUAUCAGUCCUCUCAUAUGUAUGAGCACCAAAAUAAUCUCUUUGCGCUUGAACCAAAUUAGCAGGCAGCCUUUCCCUUCUAUAGGUGUCAAAGUAAGCGAGACUAGAAGACAUACCCGGUGUGCUUAUACCUGCGUUGAUAGCAAGACAAACAACUCUUCGCCAAGCAGAUUGUCGCUCUAUCAUCUCCUUUGCAAACUCUGGAUCCACAAGAAGGUUAGCGAGAUCUGCAUUUCUAUCAUAAGCCUGCUUGAUGCGGUCCAAAAAUAUUGCACGGAUAAUGCAACCCCCCUUCCAAAUCCUAGCAAGCUCCCCAAGUUUUAAACCCCACCCCUUUUCAAUACUCUUUGCGCGGAUCAAAUUCAUUCCCUGGGCAUAACUACAUAUCUUGGAAGCGUACAGCGCUUGUCUGACAUCAUCAAUCAACCUCUUCUUAUCCACAGUUUGGUCAAUGAGGAUGUCCCCCACCCCGCCUGCUUUGAAGACCUCUGCAGCUGCAACUCUUUCAUCCUUCAAACCACUGAGGAAUCUUGAAUCCAAAGAUGAAGCUAUAGUAGGAGCAGCAAUAGACAGCUCAGCAGCUUGCUGGACCGUCCAUUUACCUGUACCCUUCAUGCCUGUUUUAUCAAGAACCUUGUCCACCAAAUACCCAUCUCCCUUAUCAUCCUUAAUUCCAAAUAUAUCUGCUGUAAUCUCGAUUAAGAAGCUCAGAAGUUCCCCCUUAUUCCACUCUGAGAAAACCUGAUGCAAUUCCUCAUUUGAGAGCUUCCCAACUGAUUUUAGUACAUCAUAAGCUUCUGAAAUCAGCUGCAUAUCACCAUACUCAAUCCCAUUGUGAACCAUCUUAACAAAAUUUCCAGAUCCACCUUCGCCAAUGUAUGUAACGCAAGGGCCACUGUCAGGAACUUGAGCAGCCACCUUGAGAAGGAUAUCUUCUAUAUUCUUAUAAGCCUCAAAGGAUCCUCCAGGCAUUAAAGAGGGUCCAUUCCGAGCACCCUCUUCACCACCCGAAACUCCCAUUCCAAGAUAGAGUAAGCCUAAUUCAGCCAUAGCUUUCUCUCUCCUUUCGGUGUUCUCGUACCACUCGUUACCACCAUCAAUGAUACAAUCUCCUUUCUCCAAGUAGACGGAAAGGGUUUUGAUGGUUUGAUCAACUGGUGCACCAGCCUUAACAAGCAUAAUUAUGACUCGAGGUUUCUGGAUUGAAUUAACAAAGGCCUCAGGAUCAUGGAAGCCGUACAAGGGAAGGUUUCCUUCAAGUUGGGCGCGUUCCACGGUCUCGUCAACUUUUGAAGUAGUUCGGUUGUAAACAGAAAUAGGGAAUCCUUUCUCAGCAAUGUUGAGGGCAAGAUUUUGACCCAUGACGGCAAGGCCAGCGAGACCGAUUCUUGUUGGGAGAGGAGCCAUUUCCUUUUCCUGUUUAAAACUUUACCAUCAGACAUCAGUAGAUUAUAUUUAUGGUUUCAUAAAUCACAUGCUAAUGGAGAGGAAAGUUCCAAUAACAUCGAAAAAUGGAAACAAAAAAAUCAUUUAAGGAACCAUUCUAAACAGGCCAGUAAAGUCUAUAUACUUGGGUGAAUCCUAACAAAACAGAACAAAAAGAACCCAAAAAUUCAAGACUUAUUGCAAAGCCUCCAUAUUGUUAAAAUGGAAUCUAAAAAAUCUAUUGGACAGACAAACAUAUCUCAGUGGGAAGGAAAUACAAAUUAACUGUUUAACCAGAAGAACUUGGAACUUAUUUCCAAGAUCCGUGCUACAUUUUGUUGCUUUGAGUAGGAAGUGGGAGAUCCAAUUCAAAUCCCGUAAUUGGUUGCUUACUAUAUUAAAAAUGAAUUUGGAAAUCCCCCAACUCUUCCCCUUCAUAUGGUCCAGUAUUAAAUUCCAAAGAUUCAUAACCUAUAUCCUACCUCCUACAUAGAUGAAUGGGUAAAUCUGAUCUACCUUAUCACAUUCAGCCAAAUAAUUACAAUAUUAUGAUUUCCUGAUCACUUCACCAACAAAUCAGAAAGUGACCUACAGAAGAUGUGCAAAAUAAAGAUUCAAAUAAAAGGAACCGGUUAUAUAAUUGAACCCCAUAUCAAAAGAAUCACAGAUAACUUAAUAGAAUGUUGCCAAGAAGAACCAAAUUUAUGACAAAAACGAGAUGAAAAUGAAAAAAAAAAUAACUUGCUGGUAGAAGUAGUAAAAAAUCAGUAACAAACACAUUAUAUACAUCCAAAGGUUCAAUCAAACUAUAUAGCAGAAAACAAAUCGGGCAAACAAAGUCCGGAAACUUUCAAAGGCAAAGGAAAAAGCAAAAAAACAACAUCUCAGCACUGAUCAAAGAUGAAAGAUUGAAUCUUGACAAGGAAGUAUUACCUCAGAAGAAUACAAAACUAUGAAACUUUACUUCAAAUGGUUCGAACCAGAGAAAUUUUUGGAUCUGAGCUUUUAAGAUCACACUCAAUCAAUCCGGUAGAAGACGAUUAUAUACUGGUAUAAAGAAGGUUCCCACACUAGUCUAUCUUCUGACUUCGGCGGAAGCCCAGUACAUUCACGCGCAAGUCAAAUUCGGCUGGCUUAUCGUUUUCCCCUAUCACCGGUGAAUUGGUGAUUGAUUUACCAAAUGCCCUUCUUUUCCCGCAUAUCCCAGCGGAUCCACCUACCACCAAACUACUCCUACUUAAAAGUUAAAAGGGAUAAAUAACGUUUUCUUCGAACUUUGAUUUUCAUUGUGAUUAUCGAAUUUUUUUUUAUUACAAUUCAAUAAUUAUACUUUCAAAAAUUUAUAAAAUAGUCAUUCCGUCCAAUUUUUCGUCCAAAAAAUAUUAAAAAUACUGACUGUGCAAGUUGACUUGACUUUUUUACUUACGUAGAACACAAAAAAGACAAGCAAGUAGAUUAUUAUAGCACAAAUGACCAAAACUAUUAAUUACUUCACCUAAACAAUUCCAAAACUAAUAAUAAUAAUAAUACUAAUAAUUUCUAAAUAAUAAUAAUAAUAAUAAUAAAUACUAUUAAUAGUAAUAAUUUUAAAAUUCUAUUUUUAAAUUUUUUUAAAAAAAAAUCUGUUAAUUUUAAAAAAGUCUUUUUUUUAAAAGAUUUUUUGUUUUUUAUAAUUCAAUUUUUUUUAAAAAGUCUGUUUUUUUAAAAAACGUUAAUUUUUUAUAAAAACAGAUUUUUUUUAAUUUUUUUAAAAACGUUAAUUUUUUUUAACUGAACUAAUAUUUUUUUUAAAAAGUUAAUUUUUUUUAAAAACGUUAAUUUUUUUAUAAAAACAGAAUUUUUUUUUAGAAAAUUAAUGUUUUUUUGAAUUUUUUUAAAAAUUUAACGUUUUUUAAUUUUUUUUUAAAAAAGUAACGUUUUCAAAAUUUUUUUAGAAAAGUAACGUUUUUUAAAUUUUUUUAGAAAAGUAACGUUUUUUAAAAAAAUUUUAGAAAAUUAACGUUUUUUAAAUAUUUAGAAAAGUAACGUUUUUUAAAUUUUUAAAAAUUAACGUUUUUUAAAUUUAAGAAUUUUUAAAAAAAAUAUUAGUUCAGUUUUAAAAAAAUUAAAAAAAUUCUGUUUUUAUAAAAAAUUAACGUUUUUAAAAAAAACAGACUUUUUAAAAAAAAAUUGAAUUUUAAAAAACAGAUUUUUUUUUAAAAACAUCUUUUUUUAAAAAAAGACUUUUUUAAUAUUAACAGAUUUUUUUUAAAAAUAGAAUUUUAAAAUUAUUACUAUUAUUAUUAUUAUUUUGAAAUUAUUAUUAUUAUUAUUAUUAUUAUUAUUAGUUUUGAAAUUGUUUAGGUGAAGUAUUUAAUAGUUUUGGUCAUUUGUGCUAUAAUAAUCCGCCUGCUUGUAUUUUCUGUGCUCCACGUAAGCAAAAAAGUUAAGUCAACUUGCACAGUCAGCAUUCCUAACGUUUUUUGGACGGAAAAUCGGACGGAAUGACUAUUUUGUAAGUUUUUGAAAGUACAGUUAUUCGAUUGUAAUAAAAAAAAGUUUCGAUAACCACAAUGAAAACCGGACCCCAGUAUAAUGACCAAAACGUUAUUUAUCCCAAAGUUAAAAGCAUGAUUUUUAAUACAAUUUUUUUUUUGUUAUAUCUGCACAGAUCAAAUACUACAUGAAAUAUGUAGAAGGACUAAUUUAUUAUAAAAAUUCCCCUUCUUUAAUUUUCUUAAUUUGUAAAAAAAAACAGAGACCUAAGAAAUUUCGAUAUACAAUCUAAACUGUAGCAAUAAAUUAAGGAUAUAUUUUUAAAUUGCCAAUUUUAAAAAUAAUAUUAAUUAUAAAUAUAGUAGUAGUACGUAGUGACAUGAGGCUAUAAUACUAUUCAAUAAUCAAUAAUUUUAAUAAAAAUAUAUAUUUAUUUGGAACAAACAUAAAAGAAAAAAGUAUGUCUCAUUUUGGAAUGAAAAGGUUAAUUUAUCCAUUCAUUAAAAGCAUUCUUAUUAGAAUUUAUGUUGAGAAAUAUGUCAAAUUCUAAAAUUCAAAUUGUAAUGUAAAUUUAUUUUAAUUUUUAAAAUAAAAAAUUUAUGCUUGGCAAUUUAUAAUAGUAUUAACUAUUGUAUUAAUGUUUACAUGAAUUUUGAAAUUUUAAAUUUACCAAAUUGAAUAUGAUAUAGAAAUCAAGUGGAACAGUAUUUGUGCAUGUGAAAAUUCAAUUGAUAAGAUUCACAUGCUAUUAUAACUUAAUAAAAUAAUAAGAAUUCCACAUAUCUAUUUUUAUUCUCAAAUCAAUCCAUCGUUUCAUCUCUAGUUCACCAAAGCCCUAACACGAAUAAUCUUUCCUGAAAAUUUCCUCUAAUAUUUUUUGAAGCUUUAGUAAGUUAUAAUGUUAAUUUAUUAUAAUGCUCUCUUAACUUAGUGAAAAAAUAUUUAUUUUUUUCAGAUAUGUAGUGAAGUGACCUAUGCGCAUGUCGCGUUAUCAAUUUUUGACGUGACACAACUAAUUGGUAGACAUUAAAAUAAAUUAAGAGAAAAAGUCCGGCCAAUUUAUUUAUUUUUUAUGAUUCCUAAACAAUUUAUAAUAUUUAUUAGAACUGAAUUUUUUAUAAAAUUCAGUGAUUUAGGUGUCAUUUAGAUACAUGUAAAAAACAUAAUUGUACAGUUCCAAAUGAGACCUAGAUCACUGAAUUCUAUAAAAAUUUCAGUUUCAAUAAAUAUUAUAAAUUGUUUGGGAGUCAUAAAAAAAAUUGUUAAAAUUUUUUAUGAGAAAGUGUUCAUGGUAGCAAUAUUUAAUGAAGCCUUAUUUUAAACAAUAAGUCCAUUUUUAAUGUCUAGCUAAAAAAUUUCUUAUCUAGAUUUCUCAGCUCAAUUCACCACCGUUCACAAACCUUAAGCUGUUGUUUGAUACAUGUCAUCUUAGCUCCUAAUCCUUAAUAACAUAGAUUUAUAUUUGAUAAUCUUAAUUUUUUUUCAUAAAUUAGAAAGUAGACCUGAUAAACAGGUGAGACAACGAUUAAAAGCUCGAUUUUUAUUGGGUUACAAAUGUAAAUACCAUGACCACAAUAAUGUGUACAAGAUAAUAAAUUCAUGAAAAAUGAUAUUUGUUUAUAAAAACCAUCAUUUAUAAAAUAUAUUUUUAAUUUUGGAUCCCAAGGAAUAUUUAAAAUUAUCAUAGGUAGUAAUUUCGUAGACAAUAUUUUAAUUUUAAAUUUAUUACUCUUUAUAAAGUUCAUUAGCAGUUGAAAGAACUUAUGAAGUAGUCUAGAUUUUAAAGUUGUAAAUAAAUAUUAUAAAAAUCAAAAAAGAAAGAAAAUAUAUACAAAUGAUUCUUCACAUUAAAGGUGAGACUCCACAAUUCUUUGUUUAAACUGUGUUAAUUUGAAUUAGGUUGUGUUUAAUUUCUUAUCAUUUGUUAAUUUGAGCUUGAAUCUAGAUAGUAGUUUGAAGAUGAUGCAGCAUCAUAUUAGUAUUAGCACGAAAUAAGAAAUAAAGGCUUGUGAGAAGUAUAUUGACAAAUACUAAUCUAAUUAGUUAAAGAAAAUUGCUCCAUCUAACACCCAACCCAAGAGCAUGCAUUCAAUGUUGCUAUAUAUAAGAGCAUCUCCAAACAAAUAGACAAACAUAUAAAUAUUCUUUUCGCUCUUAAAUCUAUAACCUCCUUUCUACUCUUCAAAUCUAUAAUUAAAGGCUAAAAAUAUUUAUUAUAUAUGUUUGAUAGGUCUGAUGUAUAGCUCAUUAGAUUGAAAAGACUGAUGACGCACAAAAUAUGAAAAUAACAAAUAAUACUCUUUAAAUUAUCACGUAGGUCAACAAAUAUUAAUUUGAAAAAUAUUUUUUACUCCUACUCUUGGAGAUGCUCUAAUAAGGUCAAAUGUAUGAGUAGAGAGACAAGAUGUACAAGCGAUGAAGGCUGUUGGAAAAAACUAUAAACUUAAUUUAGCUGCUUAUAAUGAGUUGCCUUUUUCAAAUGUUUUAAUCUUCUAGUACGUAGUUCAUUGUAUAUAUUAUUAUCCACUACUACCAGCACCUCCACCACCAUUUGUCCCAUUGCUCUGCUACAGUGAGCAAAAACAUGACUUAAUUUGGCCUUCCUUCAAACUACCUGCUGGAUCCUGUUUCCAUGAAGAGCCGGAAAUAUUAUUUAUCCCCAUAUUCAUUCUGUGAUUACGCAAAAUAUUAGAAGAGCCGGCCGGAAACUGGUGUUUUUAAAUAAUGAAUAUUUGUUCACGAGGAAAACUAUAUUUAUUUAGCUCCUUUGGUAUAUGGUUCAUGAUGUUAUAAACCUCUAUUUUCCUUUGAAUGAGACAAAUAUAUAGUAGCAUAAUUCAUACUUGAGAGAAUAAGGAAUAUAUAUAUAUCAAAAAGUGGAUAUAGAACAAACGUUAUUAUUCCAUCAAACGUAUAUAUAUACAUAUUUAUUUCUAGUGUUUUGUUGCAGUUUGUGACAAUUUGAGUGAUUAAUCUCGUUGAAGAAAAUUUGAGGAAUUUCUGAUGCAUUGGUUUGAAGAUUCAGCCCUGAGAUGGGCGGCUGUGCAAGGAAUUAAUCUACUCGAUCCAGAUGUCUCAAAUUAAACCGUCGUAAGUAAAUGAAAGUUGAAUGUCAGUUAGCCUGUGACGAAGGUCGGACGCCUCUUCCUUGAGCCAUGCAUUCUCUAGAAGAACUCUGUCAUGGCUCUCUGAUGCAUCAUUCAACUUGUCUAUGAGGUCCUGAUUCUCAGUUCUUAGACGCAGCACCUGUGACCAGAGCUCAUCUAGUUGUUUCUGCUUCCGCAUCCUUGACCUGCGAGCAGAUUCUCUAUUAGAAAUCAUCCUCCUUAGCUUUCUCUCGUCGAUGAUGCUAAGCUGAAGCUCAUGAUCAUCUCCUUCGUCUGAGGUUGAGUUAUUGCUGAUACACGAGGGCUGCGGAGUGAACUCAUGGACGGAAAGAGAGGUUUGAAAAUUCGGAAAGUUGUUUAAGAAGCUGCUGAAAGGGAGUGAUGGCAUGCUAUUAUCCUGCAUCAACCCAAAAUUAUUUGCAAAAUGGGUUGAUUUUUCUUGAGCUAGGGGGUGGUGGAUUCCUGCGAUCUCGGACCGAAAAAGCAUGGCUAAAUAUGGUUGGUGUAAGAGUGAAUUUGAAGGUUUAUUGUGCAGAUAGUGUAGAGAGGGGAUGGACAGAAUGAGGGGUUUUAUAGGAGGAUUAAACAAACAUAUAUAGUAAUAGCACUUCAAAUGUGUGUGAUGUAUGCAUGUAAUGAUUGGAACUGAUACUAUAUACUACAAGUAUAUGUGUAUGUGUGUGUGUGUGUUCAGUGUUGAUGCAUGUAUAUUUCUUGGAUAACGGAUAACUUGAGUUUUUGGAUAAUCAUUGAUGUAAUUCUUACUGGGGAAGGAAUGUUUGUGGUAAAAAUGAUGAAAAAAGUAGAGCCAAUGAGAAAAUAGUCUUUCAAAAUUCAUUCUAAAUGUUGUCCCCUUCUGAUUGAUGACCAAUUGUGGGUGACUGGAAAAAUUAGAGCCAUACAAUAAAAAUAGAAUUUUAAUUAGUGACCAUUUUUAUAUUAAUUCAGUGACUGGAAGGGCACUUCAAUUUAGAUUCAGGGGACCUAAUGAGUAUUGAAAAUAUUAGUAUUAAUUAUCUCGACAAUUAACAUCUAGUACGUAACUUCAUUUCUUCCAUUUUUUUACUUUUUAUAUUAUCAUGUUAUUACUAUUAUAUUUUUAAUCAAUCUUAAAAUUAAAAUUAAAAAAAUAUUAUUAAAAAUCUUCGUUUUAUAAAUAUAUCUACAAUAACAUUAAAAAUAGGAUGACUACUAAGGUUGAGUAAUACCAAUAAAACUAUUUUGUUCAGUUUCGUUUGAAGUUCUAUUAAUAUUACAAGAAUGCUCUACUCCAUAUAAUUAGCACUUGGCAAUGAUAAUUACCAGAAGUGCUGAAAUGUACUCGGCAUCUUUUAGGUUCUAAAUUCUGUCUCUUUCACACCAAAUUAACUAGCCGUCACCACAGCUUCUCACGUCUCUCUCUCUCUCUCUCUCUCUCUCUCUCUCUCUCUCUCUCUCUAACAUGCAUUCUUAUUAUAUAUAAUUAAGCAUAAUUAAGAUCGUGGUCAAUUAUUAUUCGGUAAUGGUUUAUAAUUAAUUAAUACAAGGAAGAAGUCAAUAUAUAAUACUGCCCUUGUAUGCUUUUAAAGGGUCAUUGUCAUUUAUUAGUAUUUCUUUGAAGAAUAAUUAUAUAUAUAUAUAUAUAUAUAUAUAUAUAUAUAAUUAUUCUAUUAUUCUUGAAAAAUGGAUCAAGAAAAGUGUAGACAAAUCUCAGAGGUAGCAACGUGCAACCGAAUUGAAGAUGUUCUAUAUAUUUAUAUUUAUAUGCAUGCAUGCUAGUAUUAAUUAUUAUAUUAAUAAACAGUUCGAUAUAUAUUAAUUCCACCCCUAGUACGUACUACUAUUAUGUUAUUUUAUAUGUUUAAUUGGUGAUUACCCACUAACCAAAUUAAACAUCCCUUUGGUGCAACUUGAUCCAACAAGAGAAAACUAAGAAUCCGGCCGGAACCGCAAGGUUCCACGCAAUCCUUGAAAUAUUUAAUUUAAAGGCUUCUACUAUUCUAUUCUCUAGUCAGUAGUCAUGUACUGCAUGCCUAAUCAAAUAAUUUUAGUUAAAACCCCCCACUAAUUAAAACAUCAUCAGCUAAUGGUGGAUUCCCUUUUUAGAUAUAUAUAUAUAUAUAUAUAUAUAUAUAGAGAGAGAGAGAGAGAGAGAGAGAAAUUAACGUUGAUCGAGAAUACCAAAUGUGUGCCAUAAAUCCCAUACAUUUUUAAAGAGUAAAUAUUAAUAUUACAUUUUGAACAAAGAGUAUUAAUUAUUUUUUAAAAAAAUAAUUUACUCCAUAAUAUUAAUAAUUUUAUUGACUAAAAUCUUAUUUACUUUUAAUAUUCAUUCGUUCGUGUUUGUAAUUUAAUUUUUUCAUUACUUGAACAAAUCACCUAAUAAAAACUAUGUUUAAUUACCUAUAAUUUUAAUAAGUUUUUUUCCCUUCCAGCUACACGUGUCUGCCAUGUGAGGUUUUGAAGAAAAUUUUUAUGAGACCUCUUGUCACCUUAACAAUGUCCCUUCUCAAGUUUCCAUCAAGAACUAAUUUGCAAGCUUUAGAAUUUGGUAGCAUCACUUAAAUUGUACCCGCGUGUGGGUUUUUCUCCACUUUUCCCCCACCCAAACAACCCAAUUAGUUAUAAUCAAGUAUACUUUCUUUUUUAUCAUGACGAUUAGGUCAUUGUGUUGCGAUAUAUAAUAUAUAUUGGUUCUAAUAGGAUAAGCUCAUCAUCUUAAUACCCUCUUGCGCGUCUUUUAUUCAUCAAUACUCGUGCAAUUUUAUAUGUUGAUUUUUUAAUUACGAAUUACGUAGAUAAUUAUAUAAUUGAUAAUAUUUUAACGAUAUAUUUGAAAUAAUAUGCUAAUUUUAUAAUUCUAUUUAUUGAUAUAUAUAUAUAUAUAUAUAUAUGGAUUCCAUUCAUAACAACCGGUUGUUGGGAGCAACUCAUUUUUGGCCAGCCGCUACAGCCUGUAGCGGCUUAUAAAAAAAAUAAAAAAAUUANNNNNNNNNNNNNNNNNNNNNNNNNNNNNNNNNNNNNNNNNNNNNNNNNNNNNNNNNNNNNNNNNNNNNNNNNNNNNNNNNNNNNNNNNNNNNNNNNNNNAUAUAUAUAUAUAUGUUAUAAUUGUACGUGGCAAAGACUCUUAAUUUUUUGGCCACAAGAUUAAUAUAUAAAUAUUCAGUUCUUAAUUACCAUCUUUCCAGAUGUUAUUAGAAUAAUGAUACGAUAAUAAUUAAUGGCAAAAAUUGUUGUUUAAGGUUGUUUAUAUAGUUGGUCAGAUUAUAAUGAUAAUGAUAAUGAUAAAUUGUUCAUGGACGACAAUGCUUUUGUAAGUCCAUUCUUUAAGUGUGCAUUAAACUUCAAUUCUUUAACUUUGUUUAUGGUAAUGGCCAAUGGGAUUCGAUAAUUAUGGAUUAUUUAAAAAUAUUUUAUGUGGACAUCGUGCUCCUCUAGGCUCUAAUUAUAUAUGCUUCCACUUGUCAAGUUGUAUAUAGAGACUCUAUUUGUGAUCAGAUUUUAGAAUUCAUGGCCCUCCUUACGUUACGUACCUUACUAAUUAAGUUUGUCAAUUCCUAAAUUUGAUUGUCCUCCACGGCAAUCAAAUUUAGAAAUUGGAUUUAAUGCAAAAAAAAUUUAAUCAAGAUCGACUUUAUUAAAUCAAAUUAAUUUUUAAUAACUGAAGUUGUUAAAAGUCCGUGUAUAGCAGAGCCAUAGGCAUGGUGUCAUACAUUUGGUAAUAUUUCUCGUCUCACCACUUAAAAUAUCUUACACACUCUUUUUCAUGAAACAUGUUUUUUUUUUUGCCAAUAUUUUAUUCUAAAAUAAAAGAACUCUAUUUUUAUUUUAUUUUAUUUUAUGAAAUAGGAGUAUAAAAUGACACAUGCAGUGUGCUCAAAUUAAUCGUUACUACAAUUUUACUACAUUGACGUCAUUCUGAAGUUUAAAAUGUACACAUAAAUAUGGAAUAAAAAUAAAUUCUUCAACUUUAUAACUUUGAUGGAUUAAUUUUUGUGGGACAGACCAAUGGAGGACUUGCAAAAGUUUCUAGAAACCAUAGUAUUAAUUAAUAUACGUACAGAGUUUUGCUAAAUUACUUGCAAAAAUAGCUACCUAAUCUUAUAUAUUGUUUGAAUUUUCUUUUAUUAAAGAAGUGGAUGACUAAUACAUUAAGGACUCGUCAAGAACUUAAUUAAUCCUUGAAUCCCACCACGGCCACUACCAGAAACUAAGUCAAUUCUUUAAUGACAUCAACUAUAUACACACAUACAUAUAUAACCGUACGUAUUCUCAAAUUUGUCAUGAUGGAAGUGCUUAUUGCUUUAUUUAUUUAUGGUCAUCUUUGAACCUAAUGGUGUGAAAAUGUCAACUUCAAUGCUUUUUGGUGCUUCCAGUAAUGGCCUUGUGACACUAAGUUGGGCUUUGAAUUCUUUUUAUGAAAGUGAGGGAGGGAGUAAAUUGAGGUAUAAGUGCAGAAAAUGAAAUGAAAUCAUUAAUUAGUUAAUGGGUUCAUAUAUGCACUCAUUUUCUUCAAAACUAUUACUCUCUCCCUCCCUAAAUAACUGACGUUUAAGAAUUCUUUGCAACAAUUAAAAAAAAUUAAACAUGACUCUUUUGUCCUUAAUAAAUAAAUUAACCAAACAAGAAAUAAUUACUCCACCACGUUAAAAUCUUAUCAGUUCUAUUUGUUGCCAUAAUUGUUGAUAGAAACAAGGAAGAAGAUGCAAGGCCAAUGGCUCAUCCAAAAUUUUUUGCCGCUAAAUUUUUGCUUCAAUUUUCUUUUUCGCUCUAAUAUAUUGUUGAUACCAGCAUAAAGAAAGAAGCUUGAAGACGUCAAUUGCUUGACUUCUGCUACUCACUUAGGAAGCUUGAAGACGUCAAUUUUUUUCCUGUAUCUGGUGAAGACUUCUGCUACUUAUUUAGGAAUCCAUGGAGAUGAACAAUUGGCUUCCUAAUCAUAGCAAGGAGGCAUUAGGAGACAGAGUUUGAAAAACAAUCAAAUUCAUCCCCAACCACAUGAACUAUACAGAAACUAAGAAACCUGUAACCAAAUUUCAAAUGACAAAGUCAUUUUUCUAGCAACCAAAUCCUCUCAAAUUGAAGUUUGUCAUUCUCUCAAAUUGAAUAGAUUGGUUCUUGGUUUGGGGCAAGUGAUAUUGCUAUAUCCUAUAUUUAUUCAGCAAGACAAUGCAAGAACUCAUAUUGCUUUGAAUGAUAAGGAAUUUUGUCAAGCUGCUGCACAAGAUGGGUUUAAUAUUUGUUUGAUGUGUCAACCUGCAAAUUCUCCAGAUUUGAAUGUUUUGGAUCUCGGAUUUUUCCAUGCCAUUCAAUCAUUACAACAGAAAGAGCCUAUUAAAAAUAUUGAUGAGCUGGUAAAUGCUGUGGUGAAGGCUUUCAACGAUUAUCUUACAUUGAAGUCUAACCGUAUAUUUUUGUCAUUACAACUGUGUAUGAUAGAAAUAAUGAAGGCCAAAGGUUCGAACAAGUACAAGAUACCACAUAUCAAAAAAGCAUUGUUGGAAAGAGAGGGCAGCCUACCGACUCAAAUAAAAUGUGAUUUUGAAUUGGUACAAGAAGUUAUGAAUUAUCCAACUCCAUUUGAUGUAGGUAUGACUUGAAUUUUUGUAUACUAAUAUCUGUAAUUGUCCUUAAAUAGGUGUUGGUUGAUUUAAUUGGUUCUCACAUUGUUCUACAGACUAACUCAAGUGCUUUUCAAUUUUAAGUUAGAGGCCUUUUGUAUGCAGUUGCCAAGAGCUUCUUAAUUUUGGUACUACAGACUAACUCAAGUGCUUAAUGUUGGUGUUUUUAUGUUGAAAAUGUUAUUAAGACUGCUUAAUUUGGUUUUAACAAUGUUGCUUAAUUUUGGUUUAUUCUGGUGGAUGCAUUCUCUUCAAUCUACUGUCUUGAUCAUUGUGUUCUUAUAUUGAAGUUAAAAUUCUGCUGGUGUAUGAAUUUUGCUGAAAACUUCUUUUAAAAAUAAUGUAUGAUUCUAACAGGAGCAGUUGGGAAUUUUAAGUUAUAAAUGUAUUUACAAUCUAUAGUAGAUUUGCUAAUGAAUAGGCAGUUGCCAACCGACCUGGUGCAUUCACUUCUUAUCAGUCCCAAACUUCACAAGAAAUACAUUAUAGAUAGUACAAUUUUUUGCUUUGGAUGUCAUUACUAAUUUCAAUAUGCGAAAUUUAGUUGUAUUUCCACUAAUUCAAUGAUUUUUCACUCGGUAUACAGGAUGCAUGUUGAGAAUGUAAUUUUAUGGCAAUCUGGCUAUACCAUAAAAAUAAUUCCAUGAAGCCUUACAUUUCAAGGUUACACACACCAGGAUUCAAAACCACAAGAAUGCAAAACACACGCCGAAGCACAAAAAAAUACAACAGCAGAUGGAUGAAAACAGUAUCUACUGUAUCUUCCUUCAUGUUCUAUUUUCAGGAAGCAACUUUAGAUGGGGGCAUGACUAAAGCAUUGCAAUGUUGACAUAAGGUUUAAGACAUGUGAACCAUCAGCCAAUUUUAAUGUGUUGUUGCUAAUGAGAAUAGAACUCUCUCUUGUAAAUCUUUUCUAUUAGAUGCUCAUUCAUGAAACUCAAUAAAAGAGCAGAGCUACAAAUAGAUUUUAAUGUAUAAAAUUAUUAUAUAAAUAUUAGACUCAUUCUGAUGGAUUCCUAUGCUUUCUAAGCUUCAUUUUCUUUGUGCUACUAUUCGAGAUAAUAAUUUUGGUAAGCUUGAAUAACAUCCUCAAGCUUCACUUGAACAUGAAGCCAUUAGCAAUAAGAUAGUCAAGACCAUUAAAGAUAUGGCUACAAAAAAUCACCAAACUCAUCCUCCAACUCAGUACCCUUCAAAUGCUAAGUUGCUUACUUGAGAUAACAGUAAUUCUUCACAUUAACCUGAAAGAAAAUUGAAAAUUCUGACAUGAAAGAGGAAUAUGACAAGGUCAAGGCUAUGCUUUCAAACAAACACAUAAUACGAUCUCCGAAUACAGGCCAUGCAAGCAUUUGAUAAUAUACUCUAUUUUUUUUCAUUCACUAAAUGAUGAUUUUCAACAAACAGAGAGUUCAUUCAAAAAUUUAACAUUACAACUGACAUGGUUAAUAAAAUUUUGAAAGAUACACUUCAUCUUCAUCUUCAAUUUGGGUUUACAAUAUACUCUGUUUUUUUAUAUUCUCUCUCUCUAAAAUUCCUGUUCUACAAAAUACUCCAUGUUGUUCUCGAAACUCUCUUCCUGCCAGGAAAGUAAAUAGAUAUUAUUAGAUUCGCUAUAUUCAUUGUAUAGUAUAAUUCCCAUAUAAUCCCAUUUACCUAACUUAGCCUAACUAUCCUACGAUAGUCCCACAAAUCAAGCAGAAUAGAAUCCUUCCCAUAUAUUAAGGAUUCUCAUGUAUCAAUUAGUUUGUAUAACGAAUCCUUCCCAUAUAUUAAGGAUUCUCAUGUAUCAAUUAGUUUGUAUAAAUAUUAACCUUAAAGAAAUAAAAUACUCAGGGAAAUAAACUCUUUUAUGGUAUCAAAGCCUCUUCUUCUCCAAAUCCCCUUCUUUAUUCUUCCCCAUGGCUACCCUUCACCCUGCCCUUGCUAUAAACAACAUCAAAAAUCAAAUUCCCGUCAUCUUAGCCAUGGAUAAUGAUGAAUACGAUACCUGGGUGGAGUUGUUCCGUCUCCAUUGCACUGCCACCCUGGUCCUCGACCACAUCCUGCCCCCCGCCCGAUCCACCGACCAAUCCCCCUACGGACCCCGCUAUCUAGGCUCGUCUGGAUGCCGUCGUCCUCCAGUGGAUUUACGGAACUAUCUCCAAUGAUCUGCUCCACACCAUCAUUGCCCCAAAAUCCACCGCUCGACAGGCGUGGAUAAGUCUGGAAAAUAUAUUCCAGGAUAACAAGGCCACCCGUGCUGUAAGUUUGGAGCAGGAAUUCAACACUAUCCACCUCAAAGACUAUCCGUGUAUCACUGCAUAUUGUCAGGCCCUGAAAAAGCUCUCUGACCGUCUCACGAAUGUCGGCGCUCCGGUCACAAAUCAACGACUGGUCCUCCGGCUCAUCGUCGGCCUCAACUCCAACUACGAUGGCAUUGCUACUUUCCUUUCUCAAAGCUCGCCCCUACCAACAUUCUCCGAGGCCCGUUCACGAUUAAUCCUUGAAGAAACACGAAAAGCUAAUCAGGCUGCCAUGGAGGCAACCACCGCAGACACUGCCUUAUAUCAUCAGUCCCCGCCAGACCCGAAACUGGACAAUUCGUUCACCCACAAACGUCCAAAUUUCCGCGGAUCUGGCCACGGUAAGGGCCGUAACAAUCGCCGCCAGGGUCGUGGGGGUGGCCACGAUGCAUCCUCUGGUGGCUCCUCUGCUUCUGCCAUUUAUCCCUAGGCUCCAUAUCAGCCGUGGAGAUGGGGGUGGGCCCCACCUUGCCCCUACCCCACCUCUGUCAAUCCGCGCUCUCCACCGAGCCGCUACCAUGGCAUACUCGGCCGAGCACCGCAACCCCAGGCCCAUGUUGCCUCAGCUGCUGCUCCCGACGGUCCUUCCCCGACAGACAUCGAGGCUGCGAUGCACACUUUGGGUUUAACUCCUCAGGACCCGAAUUGAUACAUGGACACCGGUGCAACUUCUCACAUGACUCCGUCUCAAGGUAAUCUCUCAUCUUAUUUUAAUUUGAGCACUAAAAGAAAUAUAAUAGUCGGUAGUUGCCAAGGAAUACCAAUUCGGGGCUACGGACAGGUCACAUUACCUCCCAUUUACCCUCGCCUUAAACUACAUAAUGUUUUACAUGCCCCCAAGCUCAUUAAAAAUCUGAUUUUCGUUCGCCGUUUCACUACCGAUAAUAACGUAACAAUUGAAUUUGACCCUUUCAGUUUUUGUGUGAAGGAUAUCCGGACGAGACAACCAAUCUUGAGAUGUAACAGCACUGACGACCUAUACCCUCUACUACCCUCCCCUACCACCCAACGCAACCCGACAGCCCUAACCACCACAGCUCCGUUUUUAUGGCACGAAUGUCUGGGACACCCGGGGCCAGCUAUUCUUCGUUCAUUGCGUCAAAAUAAAUUAAUUUCUUGCACCUCUAGAAAUAGUUUAUCUAAGUGUCAGUCUUGUAUUUUCGGGAAACAUAUUAAGUUGCCAUUUAUUGAUUCUUCUAGUCAAACAUUGUCUGCUUUUGAUAUUAUUCACAGCGACUUAUGGACCUCACCAGUUUUGAGUACUGCAGGACACAAAUACUACUUAGUAUUACUUGACGAUUAUACAAAUUUCUUGUGGACCUUUCCAAUUGGCCAAAAAUCCCAGGUUUAUCCCAUAUUCUUAACUUUCGCAAAAUAUAUAAACACACACUUCAAUAAACAAAUAAAAAAUUUCCAAUGCGACAAUGGCCGAGAAUAUGAUAACUCAAAUUUUGCCCAGUUUUGUAAAAACCACGGAAUGAGUUUCCGUCUCUCCUGCCCCCACACAUCAUCUCAAAAUGGUAAAACCGAACGUAAAAUCCGCUCCAUUAAUAAUAUCAUCCGCAGAUUACUCCACUGCGCAUCCAUGCCCUUUUAUUUUUUGGCAUUAUGCGCUCCACAUGGCAACCUACAUAUUUAAUAUACUUCCCAGCAAGCUUCUUGCUUACUCCUCCCCAACCCAACUCUUAUAUCAACCCACACUUUCCUACACACACCUCCGUAUUUUCGGCUGUUUAUGCUAUCCCCUAUUCCCACCCCCCACCAUACAUAAACUCCAAAAACACUCCACCCCGUGUGUGUUCUUAGGAUAUCCCCCCAAACAUCGUGGAUACAUGUGCUACGACCUCUCUAGUGGCAAAAUUAUCAUAUCCCGCCACGUGAUUUUUGAUGAGUCCAAUUACCCCUUUGAGGCUGCCCCGUCCGCUGCCCCCACUCCACUCGCCAGAGUCGAUGAUGACCCUUCCCCUCUAUUACAUGAGCUCAUUGACCCCACCUCGGGUGCCCCAUGUACGACACCACCUGUCUCCCCCACUCGGACAGAUCCACCGCGGCAUGACUCCCCACCCCCUGUACCAUCAAAUACCACCACAACCUCCCCUAUCACAACCCCAUUCCCUCCCUGGACAAUGACCACUCGCGGUAUGCGCGGCAUUUUCAAACCAAAAUAUCCCCUUAACUUAUCUAUUAUCUCCAGCCCUUCCCCCAUACCUCGUAACCCAAUCAGUGCCUUGUCCGACCCGAAUUGGAAAUAGGCCAUGCUCGACGAGUACAAUGCUCAUAUUAUUAAUAAGACUUGGGUAUUAGUUCCGAGACCACCUAAUGUGAAUAUAACUCGGUUCAUGUGGGUUUUUCGGCACAAAAAGAAAUCUGACGGUUCUUUUGAACGGCAUAAAGCCCGUCUUGUUUGUGAUGGCAGGUCCCAGCAGGUUGGCAUCGAUUGUGAUGAGACGUUCAGCCCAGUUGUCAAACCGGCCGCCAUUCGUGUAGUUCUCAGUCUUGCUCUGUCUCGAUCAUGGACUAUUCACCAACUUGACGUCAAGAACGCUUUCUUACAUGGCCAUUUGCAGGAAACAGUCUAUAUGCAUCAAACUCCUGGUUUCCGUGAUCGUCACCAUCCCGACUAUGUCUGCCUAUUGAAGAAAUCCCUUUAUGGCCUCAAACAGGCUCCACGAGCUUGGUAUCAGCGAUUUGCUGAUUUUGUUUCGACUAUUGGCUUCACUCACAAUCGGGUGAUCAUUCCCUAUUUAUUUAUCAUAAUAAUAAUGACACCGCCUAUCUGCUCCUCUAUGUUGAUGACAUCUUGCUUAUUACCUCAUCUGACAAGCUCCGCCAGUCAAUCAUGUCUCGUCUUGCCUCCGAAUUUGCCAUGAAAGACUUGGGUUCCUUGAGCUAUUUUCUAGGUAUCGCAGUAACUCGACAUAAGGAGGGCCUUUUCCUGAAUCAACGCCAAUACGCCAAGGAAUUAAUUGAGCGCGCAGGUAUGACCGACUGUAAGCCAUGUGCCACUCCCAUUGACACCAAACCAAAACUUAGCUCGGUCUCUGGAUCACUUUAUAGCAAUCCCACAUUGUAUCGUAGCCUUGCAGGUGCCUUGCAAUAUUUUACAUUCACCAGGCCAGACAUCUCCCAUGCCGUUCAACAGGUAUGCCUACACAUACACGCACUAAGCAAUGACCAUAUGGCUAUUCUUAAACGUAUCAUCCGCUACGUCAAAGGAACAAUAACUUUCGGCCUUCACCUUUACGCCACCCCUGCUACUGAUCUUGUAUCUUACACCGAUGCCAAUUGGGGCGGCUGCCCAGACACCAGAAGAUCAACAUCCGGGUAUUGUGUUUUCUUGGGCGAUAACUUGGUCUCUUGGUCCUCUAAACGCCAACCAACCAUGUCCCGCUCCAGUGCUGAAGCUGAAUAUCGGGGCGUUGCCAACGUCGUCUCUGAAUCCUGUUGGCUCCGAAAUCUACUACUUGAGCUCCAUUGCCCCCCACGAAAAGCUACAAUUGUUUAUUGUGACAAUGUGAGCGCCAUUUACCUAUCCGGCAACCCUGUCCAGCACCAAAGAACUAAGCAUAUUGAAUGGAUAUCCAUUUUGUCCGUGAACAGGUUGCUCGGGGUCAAGUUCGUGUUCACCACGUACCGUCCCGUCAUCAAAUUGCUGACAUCUUCACUAAAGGUCUUCCGCGCGUGCUUUUCAAUGAUUUUCGGGACAGUCUCAGCGUUCGUGAACCUCCCGCUUCGACUGAGGGGGUGUAUUAGAUUCGCUAUAUUCAUUGUAUAGUAUAAUUCCCAUAUAAUCCCAUUACCUAACUUAGCCUAACUAUCCUAUGAUAGUCCCACAAAUCAAGCAGAAUAGAAUCCUUCCCAUAUAUUAAGGAUUCUCAUGUAUCAAUUAGUUUGUAUAACGAAUCCUUCCCAUAUAUUAAGGAUUCUCAUGUAUCAAUUAGUUUAUAUAAAUAUUGACCUUAAAGAAAUAAAAUACUCAGGGAAAUAAACUCUUUUAGAUAUGAUUAAUAAAAAUUAGGGAGAUAGAUCUUCAACAUAUCCAUGAUAACAUCUUGAAAUUUUUCUUCACAAACUUCUUCGGCUACAUUUGGAAACUUGUUCAAAUCGAAUCCGAGAUCCGCAGGUUGAUUCAAAUCAAAGUUUCUUGGAACUUUGAUAUUUUCAGAAUCAAAAUUCACGAAAUCUCCAUUUUCUUGCAUUUUCAAUCUAUGGAGUACUGUGUUUUAAGAGAAGAAUUGCAGGUAUGGUUUCUUAGUUCCAUACAGGUCAAGCAAUCAAUCCACUCUUGGAAACCAACGAGAAUGUCAAGAGCUUUUUUUCUUUUUUGAACCAGAACCAGAAGACGCUAGUACUAAGAAGAAAGGGUAGUAUUGGAAUAAAAGUGGACAAUUUAGCUUUAAACUUUUAAAACAUCUAUUAUUUUAAGAAAAAUAAAAACUCCUUAAACGUCAGAUAUAAUAGGAUGGAGGGAGUACUACUUUUUUCAUUGACCGAGUGCUGAUAUUCAUCAUCCAUCAAAAUAUAUAGUCCUUUGAAUUCUAGUCUCCAAUACUCUGGGAAAAAAAAUAUCAGCUGAAGAAAAAAAAUACAAAGUGCAUGCAUGACUCACAUGUUACAACUUAUUUUAAAUUUGAUCAUAAAAUGGAAAGUUUUUAUUUAUUUUUGCCGUGAUGUUUAUGAAUGGUUCCAAAUAUUACAAAGAUUUUUAUCUUUGAACUGUUGGAGAUGGGGUUACUUCGAUGGUUCGUUCAAAUAUUUUUAUUUCACAAAUUACUACUAUUUCAGAUACGUCAUGGUGUAGGAUUUUUUGGAUACGCACACGCACAUAAAAUAAAUACAAAACUUCCUAUUCCCCAUCUUCGUCGGUAUAACAAUACAUUCUACCAGGUACAUAUCAGCAAUAUGUCAUCUGCAGUAUAAUAAUAUAUUCACAGUAUAAUUAACUUACCCUUAACCUGACCCUGACAUAUUGCCAAGUGUUUGAGAUUAAUUACUUAGCUAUAACCUUGUUCGACGAUAACUUAAAUGAUACAGACGGAGGAGUUAACUUACCUCCUCCUUAAUUCUUGUUCUUAAUCUUAUCCUUGGACCCUUCACGAGGUUUUUGUGUUGUUCCUUCCCCUAUCUCUUAGGACUUAGGAGUCAUUAUUAGGGUUGGCUUCCUUUAGCCUACUUUAUCUAGAUGCAUGAGAAAGCUCCAUCUAAUAACAGACUCAAUAUUGACGUCUUGCUUCCAAAGCAUAGUGCUUACAAUUAUCACCGGACAUGUGUAUGUUGUGUUGCAGGCCGGUUAGUGAGUCUAGUCCUCACCUUUACCUUCAUUGUCCUGUAAAAUGGGAGAUUAAUUUGGCAUAACAAUCAUCCGCCGAAUCACAAGUCCCCCCUCGUACGUAUUUUUCUUCAUUUCCUCCACCAGAUGCCUUUAACAAAGACCACCCUCCUGCACACACAUGUACAUACAUAUAUAUAUAUAUAUAUAUAUAUAUAUAUAUAUAUAUAUAUAUAUAUAUAUCAUAAUAUGAAUAAUUAAAGAGAGAGAGAGAGAGAGUAAUUAAUUACCAGGUACAAGAAGAAUCAUGAGGAUGAUCAAGUAAGCGAACUUGUUGUAUGAAGCCUUCAAGGCCAUAUUUUUGUAUAUAUGCUACAUACCAAAAAAUAAUGAAGUUCAUAUAUAUGGAGUAUAUCGCUUGAUGCACGAAUGAAUAUGUAUAAGGAGAGCCAAAACGUCGUCCUCUAUAAUUAAAUGAUGAAAAUAAUUAAGCUGAAUUUCCUAACCCUAUUAUAUAUAUAUAUUCACUUAUACGUGAAAUAAAAAUCAUUAAAGAUACUCUCCACUCUGCAAAAAGAUAUUCAAUUAUUUUUUUUCUAUUUAAUUUACAAAAAGAUAUAUAUUUGUGUAUCAAGCAAUAUAUAUGAACUUCAUUAUUUAAUUUGAGAAUAUUCAUUCUGCAAAAUACGUUGCCCUUGGUCAUGAUGUAUACACCGGUCAAAAUUUGGUCAAACUUAAAUUGUUUUUUUUUUAAUUUUUCUUAUCCUAGCUGAUGUUAUAAAAAAAGUUGUUUAGGACUAUAAAUAAGUACGCUUAUUAGGGGUGCUUGUGAACAAAUACGUUUUGUUUAAUUGAGAAUAUUAUUUUUCGUUCUCUUUAUGAGUUCUUUAUCUUUUUUUGCGGAUUCAAGCUAGGAUUUUUAUUCUGUUCUUGUUGGUACGAUAACCUUCAAAUCACUUUUGUGUUAGAGCGUUACAAUUUAACCAUUAUUAAUUCUGCUACGUAUGAAAGAUAAAUUAAAUAAUUUAAAUUUUAUUGUAGGGAUAAUAUGAUAAACUAAGUCAAUAUAUUAAUGCUUUCUUAAAAUAUAAAAACGAUAAAUAAAAAGGAACGAAUUAAAUUUUACUCUAUAGAAAAACAAAUACAAAAAGAACGGAGAGAAACUAAUUAAUAUAGACGUAUUUCGUGGGAAACUGACAUGUUAGAAAAUUAAUUAAGAAAGCUAAAACUCAAUAUUUAAGGUAAGCUAUAAAUUUAUGUUAUAUUUAUUUUUAAAUUAAUUUAAAUAAACGUAUUUAAUCGUGUUAAACGUGUCAAUCAGCUAAUUAUGCAUGUGAUUGACACAUUUAAAUUUUGUGGUAAACGUGUUGAUAUGUUUAUGACAUAAAAAUUGUUUACACUUAAUACUAACCCUCUCUAAUUGUAUGUUGUGUUAGUGUCGAGUUACCGUGUCAUGUUAGAAAUUGUCACUCCUCAUAUAAUUAAAUAUGAUAUGCAUGGUGAAUAGUAUGAUUUAAAACAGCAGUUCAUCAUAGAAACACAAGGACAUCAUACAUUAGAAUUUAUGGAAUUGGUAGUAUCAACAUAAAAAAGUGUUCUAUUUUUUGAAAGAGUACUGUAGAAGACUGAAAUAUAUCAAAUAUAUUAUGUUUUAAUGAAAAAAAUUACAAGUGAUUCUUGUUGAAUGAAAAAGAGGCCGGUGUCAUUGAUUCUUGUUGAAUGGGGGAUAAGACCAUAUGAGGAUUGAAAACAAUGUUUGGAACCUAAAAAAAACUGUCUUAUGAACAUAUCCACACUUUAUAAAGAAUUAAUCAAGCGUAAUUAAUUGACCAAUUGUUAAGUAAAGUGGGCAAAUUAAUUAAUCCUUACAUAAAUAAAAGCUAUAUAUAUAUAUAUAUAUAUAUAUAUAUAUAUAUAUAUAUAUAUAUAUAUAGAAUAUUGGACAAGACGGGGCAAAAAUUUGCAUAAACAAUAUAAAAAAAAUAGAGAAUUAAUAUUUUUAUUUUACAGUGAGAUCUAGUGAGGAGGAAUUUACGCAAUUAAUAUUUUUAUUUGUAAAAAUAUCAAUUAUCAAAGUCAAUAGAUUGUAAUAACUCGCGUUUGUUAUAAAACUUAACAUCAUCAUAAUCCAUAACCAUAGCCAUAGAGAGACUCACGCACAUAAAAAACGAAGAAGAAAAAGGAGAGGUAGAAAUUAUAACAGCUGGAUUUUAUAUAUUGGUAAAUUGAUUGAUAAUUAAUAGUGAUGACAUGGAUCAGAAACACGCGCAGGCGUUUCGUAUACACAUUGGAGCCAAGGUUCUACCACAGCACUGACGGCAGUCAUUGAGAUCUUGACAUACUAUGUUGCAGUUGCGAAGAAUACCCUCGCACCCAUUCCAAGGUUUGUCGUCAGAGCUGGACGUCAAUUCCGGCGCCGAAUAAUUAUGGCGAUGGUCAACACAUGUCCAGUUGCCUUUCAUAUAUUUGGGAGUCCCUACUUUACAUGAAACUUUGCAUUCGCCGGAAGUUAUACUCUGUGGCCUCAUCCCACUAUUUGCGACUGAUAAACCUGCCCAUGCAAUGACAUACAUACAUGCAAACAUAUAAUUAGUGACAUUCAAAUAAUCUGUCGCUAUUGUAAAUUGUUCACAAAUACUAAUACUAAUAUUUUUAUAUAUAUAUUUAUGUUCGUUAAGAGAGACUAACCAGCAACAAGAAGCAAUAGGGCUGACACGAAAAGCAGCUUAAACGAGUACUUCCCCAUAUGUAUAUCUAUUGCCUAUUGGUGAUGUGAUUUAUAAGCAACUAUGCUAUCAGUUUUACUUAAUUUGCAAUGUUAUACUACUAUAUUAAGAAUGAGUAUGCUCUACCAAGAGGGGAAGAAACAUGAAUAUAUAUAGAGUAAAGGGCAUUAAUUAUUUAGAUUACAAAAACUAUCCAGAUUAUUAUCAAUUAAUGUCAGAUUACAAUAUUUUAUUUGGCAAUUAAUAUUGUCAGAUUAUAAAUAAUAUUGGCUGACCAUAUAAUAAAUAUUGGUUAACGUGUUCUCUAUAACAUUAAUAAAGGUUUUGCUAAAUACACAUUUGUUCAGUUAGCAUCAUUUUGUGCUAUAUAUGACAAUAUCACAAUCUCUUAUUUAAUCUUUAAAAAAAUAUUUUAUUUAUUAUUUUAAUAAAUUAUGGAAGUUUUCAUCUCCAAUAAUGUGAUAUCAGUAGAAAAUUGAUAUUUUCACAAGUAAAAAUAAUAGUUUCACAAAUUUUCUCUCACAUAAAUAAUUAAUGGGUUUCAUUGUGGAAAUAUCAGUUUUUACUUGUAAAAAUAACAAUUCCCUAUCAUUAAUUACUUGACUAUGUAUUGGUUAUGUCUUAAAUAUCAUUUGUCUUAUUUAAUGUUUUGCAGACAUAUUUGAAAAUAAAAAGCGAAUUAUUACUCUCAAGAAAAUUUUGAUAUUUUCAUAAGGUUUCUCUUAUACGAGCGUCGGUCACAUUUAUUAUUCAUGUGAAUGGAACCUACCUUAUAGAAAUAUCAAUUUUUCAUGUACAAAUAUUAAUUCCCAAAAAAAACACUUGAUACGGCCCCCUGCAUUAGUUUAUUUAUUUUAGGAUAGUCUAGUAAUUUUAUUGCGUAUGUUGUUAAAAAAAUAAUAAUAAAUAACUCUCUUAAGAUGGUUUUUCUAUAAAAAAAAAUCAAUAUAUAUUUAUUAGCUAAAUUGACCAUAAUUUGUCUCAUGUCAAUCUUUUUGGUAAUUUUGAACCUUUUUAAAUAUAAUUAUUAUCAAAUUCUCCCUUAGUGUUCUAUUCUUCAUUAUCCAAAUAAUCAUGAAAUGAUCUGGCAUUAGGAUGGGUAUAUAUGAUAUUAAUUACUGCAUUCGUUUAAGUUUAGAGACAGAAAAUAGAAGAUUAAGUUUAAACUUUUUAUAGUUAAAUUGAGAUCUUUUAAAUUAAAAAUUAAUGUAAUUCAUUUAAUUUUUGAAAAUAAUAUAAUUUGUAAUUAAUAGAACAAUUUAAAUAGUUUUCAUGAUUGUAUUAUCUAAUUUUAAAUGAAUUUAUAUCAAUUUAAAAUUUAAAAUAAUUUUAAAAAAUCGCUAUUAAUUCUACGAGGAAAAGAAAAUGAUCAAGGAAUAUUAUUGCAAUCAAGGAAUUCAAAUUUUUUUAAUUUAAAUUCUCUAAUACAUGUUAUUGAGCUCCCUCUCAUAUCAACAGUAAAUGAAUUCCAUAAUAAAUUUAUUGCAACAACACUACUCGGUCCUAAUACACAUCAGCUUACAUUCCGACAUUGCAACAUUACGGAGUAAUUUAUAAUUAGAUUAUGGAAAUUAAGUGAACGUAAAAAACGUUGUUUUCCAUCAUUUUAUUUAUUUUUUUAUUUUUCUAACCACUUAAAACUUCAAGACAAUUAGACCUGACCCAAACCCACGGGUCGCAUAACUCAUCCUCUAAAUUCAAGAGUUUGGACUUAAAUUAAUGUCACCGGGUCUUUUUGACUCCGUCCAUUUAAACCCAACCUGUGGGUGAUCCGAUCCAUUAGUUAAUAUUUAAUAUUAUUUUUACUUAAAAUUUCUCCCAUUAAUAUGCACUAAUAAGUUAACUCUCCAACUAUUUCAUCUUCUCUUUAUAAUUAACCAUCACUCCUUCCUAAUUCUUUUGUCGUUUUGCAACUAUCGGUACUAUUCAUUCUCCAUACAUAAAAAGGUUGACCUUAAGGGCACAUUUUAAGCACUGAAUUCAAAAUAUAAGACCCACUGAAAAAUAAUUUUAAAUAUGUAAAAUAAUAUUUCAAUAAGACCGUAUACAUUUAAAAUUAUAUUUCAAUGAACUUCAUCCCUUAAAUUUCGUGUUUAACACGUGUUAAGAAAAUCCCUUUUUCAUCGUUUUAUAACAAAUUGAGUUUUAUUGUAUAGAAAACUUGGAAGUAAUUUAUGUUUUAUUAUUCAAAAGAAGUUGAAAUAAUUUCCGUUGUAAAAAAUAAUAGGUUCUUUACAAUAAUAUACAAUAAUCACUAAAUAAUUACACUAUUAGUGGAUCUAUAAAAUAAUUAUAAAAAUAGUACAAUUCACAUUAAUAAAGAAACCUAAAAUCAAAAAGAAAUAAUUGUCAUAAUUAAUAAUUCAAAUUCAAAUAUUUGAGAUCUAACAACAAAAACAAAUUCAAAAUAAUAAUUCACCCAAACUAAUAUGAGCAUAGAUCAGAUAGCCCGUCAGUAAGUCCAAUAACCCAAACAAAACAAAUUACUUGUACAUCCGAAACCAUAAAAAUAAAAUUCGAUGUAUUACAAACUUUUCCUUUCUUAACGAAGAGAGAUCAUAACAUUCACCGCCAUUGUAAUCUGGUGCGAACCACAUCAAGUAGAAACCUUCAUCUUCGAAUAUUACAGUGGACUCGCAGAGAAAAUAUUAGUCAAGCUUCAGCAACUGGAUAGAGAAGCAUGGCUAUUUGAUUUUUCACAAUUUUUUCAUGUCCGAAAAUUCCAAUUCCAAUUUCGUGGUCAAAAGAAAAUAAGAACACUGUAUAUGAAAAAGAGAGAUAAGAGAGUGAUGUGUAAUGUAAUGUUAAUAACCAAACAUUCGUACCAAGGUAACCAAACUAUUAUACCAAGGUAACCAAUCUACCUCCACACAUGCAGUAUGAAUUGGUUACCUUGGUUUGAAAGUUUGGCAACCAACGGUAUGAAGGUUUGGCUACCAACUGCAAUAACAUUCAAAAUAAAUUGGUAAUUUAAUAAAACUGAAUUGGUUAUCUUGGUAUGAAGGUUUGGCUACCAACUGCACUAUAAAAAAACUACAGGUGUGGAUGUGGAUUGGUUACCUUGGUACGAAGAUUUUGUUACCUUGGUAUGAGGAUUGGUUAUCUUGGUAUAAAGGUUUGAUUACCAACAGCACUAUGAAAAAACUGCACCUGGAUGGAGUAAUUAAUAAAUGUCAUACACAUUUUUUUUAGUAAGUGGGCAUGCACCUAGCUUAAACCCAUAUAUAUAAAAACAGUAAAACCCCUAUUUAAGAAUAUUCUAUAUAAGAAUAACCUCUACAAUAUUAUAAAAAAAAAUGGUCCCAAUUUGGGCCAGUUAUAAAUAUGAAUAACUUCUAAAUUGUAAUAUGUUAUAUACUCCCUCCUAUUCAUAUUAAAUGUCUUUUUAGAGUUAAACACACUUUUUAAGAAAUAACACAAAAUAUCUUUUGUAUCCCUAAUUAAUUAUUUCUCUCUCCACAAUGGUCCAUGGAAUUGUAUUUACUAAACAUAUUAAAUAGAGGGGUAAAUUAAAAAAAAAUAGUGUAAUAUUACAUAGGGAUUCCAAAACAACACUUAUAUAGAAUAAAAUGAAACUCUAUAAAAAGAUAUUUAAUAUGAAUAGGAGGGAGUACUUUUUAAGUCUCGUAUUAAAAAAUUAUACCUCUAUAUAGUAAUAAUUUCAUAUAUAUAUAUAUAUAUAUAUAUAUAUAUAUAUAUAUAUAUAUAUAUAUAUAUAUAUAUAUACACAUAUAUAUAUAGAGAGAGAGACAAUAUUAAUUUUAAAAGACUAUAUUUUCUAUAAAAGACUACAUUUUCUAUAAAUAACUACAUUUUCCUAUAAAAUAUUAUAUUUUCCUAUAAAAGACUAUAUUUGCUAUAAAAGACCAUAUUUUCCUAUAAACAUUUUCUAUAAAAGACUACAUUUUCCUAGUUUGAAAAUCUAAAUAAUUUAUGUGAGUUCUUAUUGACAUUUUGUUAAUGUGAAUAUUUUUGGGUGUUCGAAAAAUAUUUUGUACCAAUACCGCUAUUUAGUAAUAACCUCUCAAUUAGAAUACAAAUAAUUUGGUCAUAAAUUUAUUCUUAAAUAGAGGUUUUACUAUAUAUAUAUAUUUAGAGAGAGAGAGUCAGGAUUAAGUGCAUACCACUUAUCUUACUCACUCGUGCUCACCCCCCUUUAGGCGACGAUUUCGGUUAUACAACCGUUGUCUAUACUUUUAACGACGGACAACAUAUAGCGUUGCUAAAAGUAUAAACGACGGUUGUAUGACAGAAACCGUCGCCUAAAGGGGGGUGAGCACGGGUGAGUAAGAUAAGAGGUAUACACUUGAUCCGGACCGUAUAUUAUAUAUAUAUAUAUAAAACAAAAUAUAAUUGAUUUUAAAUUUUCUGCUCACCUUAAUAAAUCAUCUGGGCCAACCAAAGUUUGAGAUAAAUCCUACUGUCCAUGUAGUGCCGGAGGCACGGGACGAAUCUAGAGUGAUUCUUUUAAAUAACACUCCCGCUUAAAUAUCAUUUCCUUAUUAAAACUAAUAUAUAUAUUAGAACGGAUGUAGAACACUCCUCUUAAAUAUCACUACCUCUUAAAUAUCACUCAUUAAUUUAUUAAAAUUACGUCGUUUUGGAGAUUCUUUUAAAAUACUCCAUACAAAAUAAUAAGUAUUAAAAUAUAGUGAUCCCACUUGUUUUUUUUUAUUUACAAAAAUAACACUCGCGACUCCACAUGUUUUUUUUUAAAAAUUUCAAAACAAUGUAGUUUUAAUAAAAUAGUGUUAUUUAAGAGAGAGUGAUAUUUAAAAGAAAUGCUUUUGAUCCGUUAUAUAUAUAUAUAUAUAUAUAUAUAUAUNNNNNNNNNNNNNNNNNNNNNNNNNNNNNNNNNNNNNNNNNNNNNNNNNNNNNNNNNNNNNNNNNNNNNNNNNNNNNNNNNNNNNNNNNNNNNNNNNNNNNNNNNNNNNNNNNNNNNNNNNNNNNNNNNNNNNNNNNNAUCGCCGCCGGAACCAAAACCGGACUGCAAAGAACCAGCACAGGGGUGGCUAGGGUCAGUGCGAUCACCGUUCCGACGAGGGUCAAGCCUGAGAGGACAAGAAAGGACCCAUCGGAACGGUGUUGUGCCGCGAUCAAAAAACAAUCAGUUGGGAGUUGUUGAUCUUGAUUACGAGGAUUCUGAUGAGAGAUGGACAAAUGGGAGUCAUUUUCUGUGUUGGACAUUGCUUUACUUUCAGUUAGAGAUACUGUGUGUUGAUGAAAGAAUCAAUGGAUGAGAGAGAGAAAAGGAUGAGGAAAACAGUGAGUUAGAUCUGUAAACAUUUUUGCCUUGUUUUGAUUUGGGGAGAUAGAAAAAAAGAGAAUAAAUUCACUAAUUAUGUAAAUAAAAAUUUUAAAUGCAUUAAUUAUGUAAAUAUUUUAUGAGUCCACUAUUGUUGUAAUUAUUAUAAUUAUUUUAAAAAAUAUACUAAAAAAAUAUAAUUAUCCCAUAAAAAAUAGGUGUUUUUAACCCAGCCCAAAAAACUCAUCCGAAAGUAUUACAACCAGCAUUAAAAUGAAAGUCAAGCUUAGAUAAUGAUAUUUUGGAUCCGAUUAUCAUAAAUUUAUUUAAUAAAAUAUUGACACGCAUUAAACUUCGUCUGCAUGUAAUUAAUCAAUUGAUUAAUUUACUCAAAAAUAAACUUUAUGCUAACAAUUUAUUUUUUAAUAAAUUGAUGAAUUAACAAAUAAAAUAUUGACACGCAUUAAACUUCGUCUAUAUGUACUUAAAAAUAAAUUUAUGCCGAUAUUUUUUGUUGGUAGGGUACUUUCUUUGUCAGUGGUAUUUUAUGUACCCUUUUUUUUUGGGUGAACAAUUGGAUAGAUUGUUUUGGCUUAUUUGAUUACUUUUAAUAAAUACCAUCAGAUCUUAGAAUGAAUACAAUACAUGGAACAAGUUAUUCAAAAAUAAAAAAUAAAUCUUGAUUUAUUUUUCUAGGUCUUGCCAAUUGACAUGGAUUAAUCAAAGGACAAUUUACAACAAGAAGAAAAAUGAUUUAGUGUAGCACCAUGCUCGUAAAGUCUGAAGGGUAAGUAUCCAACAGACCAUGUAUUUUGGUGCUUCAAAAUCCACACAAAAAAUUAAUAAAAAUUAUCAUAUUUAUUUAUAGGGGCUUCUUUUCAUUGCGGGUGAUUGAAGAAUUAGCAAAGCAAUCAGAGAACUUUGAAGACCAUAAUGGUACGAUAUGAACUCAACAUGGAGGUUCAGACAGAAAAAGCUCAUCAUUUUACUUUGCUAUUUUGUUUAGAUCUGGAUCUGAUUUCAAUUUCAAUUGGUUAAAAAGUAGAAGAGAUCAUUGUAGGUGUUUUGGCAAAUAAACAGAUGAUAUUAAACAAAAGAAAAGAAUACUGAGUUCAAUCGAAUCUUGUUUAUGCCAAAUAUAAAUUUUAAUUUAGCACCUUAAAAUACCAGAUCUCGAAUUUUCCUUUCAACUAUGCUUCAAGUUGAAAGGGGCUAUAUGGUGCAGCAGCAGCAGCAGGAUAGAGGAGGAGAGAGAAAAUAUAUACAUACAUACUAGGGAUUGAAGACUUUGGAGUUACCUACUAAGUACUUUUUUUAUAGAUAAA
RNAcentral lists this long non-coding RNA (38403 nucleotides) under Panax ginseng (ginseng). RNAcentral's name for it is "long non-coding RNA (PGIN_LNC008938)". Lineage: Eukaryota; Viridiplantae; Streptophyta; Magnoliopsida; Apiales; Araliaceae. The record is from RNAcentral.